GUGCUCACUUUGGCAGCACAUACACUAAAAUUAGAAUGACACAGAGAAGAUUCACAUGGCCCCCGUGAAAGAAUGACACGCAAAUUUGUGAAGUGUUCCAUAUUUUU
Molecule: small nuclear RNA, 107 nt
Organism: Phyllostomus discolor (pale spear-nosed bat)
Lineage: Eukaryota; Metazoa; Chordata; Mammalia; Chiroptera; Phyllostomidae
Source: RefSeq, a predicted model, not a curated record